Molecule: long non-coding RNA, 1111 nt
Organism: Lemur catta (Ring-tailed lemur)
Lineage: Eukaryota; Metazoa; Chordata; Mammalia; Primates; Lemuridae
Exons: 5
Source: RefSeq, a predicted model, not a curated record
CCCGCCGGAGCCCAGCGCGCCCCGCGGCCCGACCUCGCGCACCCGCGGGCCGGAGGCCGCUCACUUUCCGCGGGCCUUCCUGCGGCCGGGAGCCCUCGGGGACCGGCUCCCACGGCCCCCAAGGGUCCGUGACAACUGCAGUAGGCCUGGAGCUGUCAAGGAUUGCAGGGGAGAAGGUGGAAAGGAGUAGCCACAGGGCCUGGGAAAGGCCAGGUGGGCACUGCCCUGCUGGAGAAUGGGCAUCACCUGUCCUCAGGGCCACACUGAGCUGGGGCCCUGUCAGCACUCCACCCAGAGUGCAGGCUUAUUUUGGAAUCGUGGGCUAAUUGUGAUCCGUCCUGUGACCACACCUUCCUGGCGUGCUUCGACUGCCUGUAGGAAUGUUUAUUCCGGAACUUACUCUCCGUUUCUCACGUCCUUUGUAUGGGACUUGACCUUAACACUUGUCUGCGGUUCAUGUUGAAGUGAGGUCACUGCACGUAUCCACAUAGAACUUAAACAAGGAAGCACUCCGAGUAAGAUGUUACUAUUCCUUUAGCACCUCAUUGCAUAAGGAUCUUCCAGGACUGAAGCUCUGAUCACCUCCCUGCUCUUCUUGGAAACCAUCAUUGGCUCCCUGUUACCCACAGAAGGAGCACAAAUGCUUUGGUGUUGCAUUCAAGGAACCCCUCAAAAACCGACCCCAUGCUGCCUUUCUGGGAAGACCUCACACGCUCUCCCGCCUUCAUUUAAUGCUCCAGCCUGAUGGUAUCACUGCCUAUUUUCUGAACUCUGAUGCUUCCCUUCCUCUCCUCUUUUCAGAAAUUGGCAGUGGGAUGGCCAACGAGAGUGGCGCUCCUUGCCCCGCCGUGCCCCGCUAGUAGAAGGGGCGAUGAUGUGGUGGUACGUGCACACAUCCUACCUCGGGAGAAUCAGACAUUUGGAGAAGAAGACGGAGAACAAACAUGUUCAGAGAACACAGCACCUGCUUCUGUCUGGAGCGUGGGGGGAGAUGACCUGGAGCCAAGUUUGUGGGCUGGGCAGGAUUUAGGGAGAGAGAUGCGGGGACCAGGUUGAGAGUACCAUCUGCCUGGCCACUUGUCAAAGCAAGGUAGUUGCUAGAUUUCAGAAA